This 586-nucleotide ribosomal RNA is filed under the name uncultured bacterium. RNAcentral describes it as "partial 16S ribosomal RNA". It matches the Rfam family "Bacterial small subunit ribosomal RNA", at positions 355 to 1376 of the family's 1533-position model. The record is from RNAcentral.
UGGGGAAUUUUGGACAAUGGGCGCAAGCCUGAUCCAGCCAUGCCGCGUGCGGGAAGAAGGCCUUCGGGUUGUAAACCGCUUUUGUCAGGGAAGAAAUCUUCUGAGUUAAUACCUCGGGAGGAUGACGGUACCUGAAGAAUAAGCACCGGCUAACUACGUGCCAGCAGCCGCGGUAAUACGUAGGGUGCAAGCGUUAAUCGGAAUUACUGGGCGUAAAGCGUGCGCAGGCGGUUUUGUAAGACAGAGGUGAAAUCCCCGGGCUCAACCUGGGAACUGCCUUUGUGACUGCAAGGCUUGAGUGCGGCAGAGGGGGAUGGAAUUCCGCGUGUAGCAGUGAAAUGCGUAGAUAUGCGGAGGAACACCGAUGGCGAAGGCAAUCCCCUGGGCCUGCACUGACGCUCAUGCACGAAAGCGUGGGGAGCAAACAGGAUUAGAUACCCUGGUAGUCCACGCCCUAAACGAUGUCAACUGGUUGUUGGGAAGGUUCCUUCUCAGUAACGUAGCUAGCGCGUGAAGUUGACCGCCUGGGGAGUACGGCCGCAAGGUUGAAACUUAAAUGAAUUGACGGGGUCAUAGCUGUUUCCUG